This 253-nucleotide ribosomal RNA is filed under the name uncultured bacterium. RNAcentral's name for it is "partial 16S ribosomal RNA". It matches the Rfam family "Bacterial small subunit ribosomal RNA", at positions 524 to 776 of the family's 1533-position model. The record is from RNAcentral.
UACAUAGGGUGCAAGCGUUGUCCGGAAUUCUUGGGCGUACAGAGCUCGCAGGUGGUUCGUUACGUCGGAUGUGAACAUCUGGGGCUCACCCCCAGACCUGCAUUCGAUACGGGCGAACUAGAGUGUGGUAGGGGAGACUGGAAUUCCUGGUGUAGCGGUGGAAUGCGCAGAUAUCAGGAGGAACACCAAUGGCGAAGGCAGGUCUCUGGGCCAUUACUGACACUGAGGAGCGAAAGCGUGGGGAGCGAACAGG